GACGUAGGGUGCAAGCGUUGUCCGGAUUUAUUGGGCGUAAAGAGCUCGUAGGCGGCUUGUCGCGUCGUCCGUGAAAACCUGCAGCUCAACUGCAGGCUUGCGGUCGAUACGGGCAGGCUAGAGUUCGGUAGGGGAGACUGGAAUUCCUGGUGUAGCGGUGAAAUGCGCAGAUAUCAGGAAGAACACCCGUGGCUAAGGCGGCUCUCUAGUACGGUACUGAUGCUGAGACGCGAAAGCGUGGGGAGCGAACAGG
RNAcentral lists this ribosomal RNA (253 nucleotides) under uncultured bacterium. Its description in RNAcentral is "partial 16S ribosomal RNA". It matches the Rfam family "Bacterial small subunit ribosomal RNA", at positions 524 to 776 of the family's 1533-position model. The record is from RNAcentral.